This 710-nucleotide ribosomal RNA is filed under the name uncultured bacterium. RNAcentral's name for it is "bacterial SSU rRNA". It matches the Rfam family "Bacterial small subunit ribosomal RNA", at positions 94 to 823 of the family's 1533-position model. The record is from RNAcentral.
AGCGGCGGACGGGUGAGUAACGCGUGGGUAACCUGCCCUGUACACACGGAUAACAUACCGAAAGGUAUGCUAAUACGAGAUAAUAUACUUUUAUCGCAUGGUAGAAGUAUCAAAGCUUUUGCGGUACAGGAUGGACCCGCGUCUGAUUAGCUAGUUGGUAAGGUAACGGCUUACCAAGGCGACGAUCAGUAGCCGACCUGAGAGGGUGAUCGGCCACAUUGGAACUGAGACACGGUCCAAACUCCUACGGGAGGCAGCAGUGGGGAAUAUUGCACAAUGGGCGAAAGCCUGAUGCAGCAACGCCGCGUGAGCGAUGAAGGCCUUCGGGUCGUAAAGCUCUGUCCUCAAGGAAGAUAAUGACGGUACUUGAGGAGGAAGCCCCGGCUAACUACGUGCCAGCAGCCGCGGUAAUACGUAGGGGGCUAGCGUUAUCCGGAAUUACUGGGCGUAAAGGGUGCGUAGGUGGUUUCUUAAGUCAGAGGUGAAAGGCUACAGCUCAACCGUAGUAAGCCUUUGAAACUGGGAAACUUGAGUGCAGGAGAGGAGAGUGGAAUUCCUAGUGUAGCGGUGAAAUGCGUAGAUAUUAGGAGGAACACCGGUUGCGAAGGCGGCUCUCUGGACUGUAACUGACACUGAGGCACGAAAGCGUGGGGAGCAAACAGGAUUAGAUACCCUGGUAGUCCACGCCGUAAACGAUGAGUACUAGCUGU